RNAcentral lists this ribosomal RNA (490 nucleotides) under uncultured bacterium. RNAcentral describes it as "partial 16S ribosomal RNA". It matches the Rfam family "Bacterial small subunit ribosomal RNA", at positions 29 to 507 of the family's 1533-position model. The record is from RNAcentral.
AAUGAACGCUGGCGGCAUGCCUUACACAUGCAAGUCGAACGGCAGCAUGACCUAGCUUGCCAGGUUGAUGGCGAUUGGCGAACGGGUGAGUAAUGCAUCUGAACUUCCCUGUUAGUGGGGGAUAACGUUGCAAAAGUUACGCAAAUACCGCAUAUUCUCGGAGGAGGAAAUCAUGGGACCUUCGGGCCUUGCGCUAGAACAGCGGGCUAUGUCGGAUUAGUAAGUUGUAGAGGGUAAGGCUCACGAAGACAACGAACAGUAGCCGUUUGGAGAGGAGGAUGGGCAACACUGGGCCUGAGCCCAGCCCCAGACUCCUACGGGAGGAAGAAGUGGGGAAUUUUGGACAUAGGGGGAAACCCUGCUCAAGACAUGCCGCUGGAGUGAGGAAGGCCUUCGGUUUGUAAAGCUUUUUCUGCUGGGAAGAAAUCGCACCCUCUAAUACAGGGUCUGUAUGACGGUAGCAGAAUAAGAAGCACCGGCUAACUACGUG